RNAcentral lists this ribosomal RNA (483 nucleotides) under uncultured bacterium. RNAcentral describes it as "partial 16S ribosomal RNA". It matches the Rfam family "Bacterial small subunit ribosomal RNA", at positions 30 to 506 of the family's 1533-position model. The record is from RNAcentral.
AUUGAACGCUGGCGGCAGGCCUAACACAUGCAAGUCGAGCGGAUGAAGGGAGCUUGCUCCUGGAUUCAGCGGCGGACGGGUGAGUAAUGCCUAGGAAUCUGCCUGGUAGUGGGGGAUAACGUCCGGAAACGGGCGCUAAUACCGCAUACGUCCUGAGGGAGAAAGUGGGGGAUCUUCGGACCUCACGCUAUCAGAUGAGCCUAGGUCGGAUUAGCUAGUUGGUGGGGUAAAGGCCUACCAAGGCGACGAUCCGUAACUGGUCUGAGAGGAUGAUCAGUCACACUGGAACUGAGACACGGUCCAGACUCCUACGGGAGGCAGCGGUGGGAAAUAUUGGACAAUGGGCGAAAGCCUGAUCCAGCCAUGCCGCGUGUGUGAAGAAGGUCUUCGGAUUGUAAAGCACUUUAAGUUGGGAGGAAGGGAAGUAAGUUAAUACCUUGCUGUUUUGACGUUACCAACAGAAUAAGCACCGGCUAACUUCGU